Small nuclear RNA from Sorex araneus (European shrew), 105 nucleotides. Lineage: Eukaryota; Metazoa; Chordata; Mammalia; Eulipotyphla; Soricidae. The record is from Ensembl.
GUACUCACUUCGGCAGCACACAUACUAAAAUUGAAAUGAUACAAAGAAGUUUAGCAUUGCCCCUGCACAAGGAUAAGAUAAAUUUGUGAAGUGUUCCAUAUUUUC